Molecule: long non-coding RNA, 847 nt
Organism: Mauremys mutica (yellowpond turtle)
Lineage: Eukaryota; Metazoa; Chordata; Testudines; Geoemydidae
Exons: 4
Source: RefSeq, a predicted model, not a curated record
GCAUAACCUAGAUUGUGAGAAAUUGGGGGCAAGGCCUGCUGCUACGACUGACCAGCUUUCAGGCCCUGUUAAUGUCAACGGGACUGUUCGCUGUGAGUAAGGAUGUCACACCCUGGAGCUAAUGAUGCACAGCACAAUGGGGUCCCGGGCCUGGAUUAGAGCUCCUUGGCACUGUGGUAAGGCAAAACCCACAGGGAGAUGUUUUUGUAAAGUGGAGUAACAAACGAGGGGGUAAUUAUCAUUGUAUGGACUAGGGCUGGUACCGACUGGUUGUUGGAUCAGGACUGGAGUUAGACUCUAAUGGGUGGGGAAGAGAGAGAGGCUGCAACAUUAAAACAAAUCACGUGGUUUGACUUGGUAGGUUAAGGACCUGGCCUGCUGCUUCCAGGAGGACUUUGACUUUGGGCCGGCUCGGCUAUCGUUACCCACACUGAGUAAUGCUUUAGGGGCAAAAUUGUAAAGCUAUUUGGGCACCUGAUAUGUCAGAAUGCAGCUGAUCUGCAAAUGUCAAAGGGGGGCUGAAGGUCACAAUGGCCAUAAAUUAGGCCUUGGCUUACCACCUAUGGAGUUAGAGGAUCCCUGGCAUGCUAACAGUGUGGCCCUUGAACAUUCAACCGGUUAGCCCAAUGCAGCCUGUCAUCAACCCGCCCUCCUGAACUGAGCCCCUACCUCAUUCAGUAAACUGGAUAGCCUGUGCACUGAGGAUGACUCAGGAUCAUGUAGUGGAGGCAGCUGUCUGUAGGACUCCUACCUCAUCCAUUGCAGAAGUUGGAAGCUUGUUCCACUGAGAAAAACAACACAGGGCCUGAUCCUGAGAAGUGCUGAGCACCCCCCACAUCGUUGGGAG